UGCGCGCGAGCCCCGGCCGCCGCUCCGGCUCCCGCGCCGGGCGAGGACGCAUCGGGCGCUUCGGGAGGGAGCCUGCCUCAGCGCUCGUAUAUGGCAAAGUUUCUCGCCGAGCUCCUGGGCUGCACGUUGCCGAGCAAGGGCGCCUCUCCCAUGUUUGAGUCCAAAAGUCACUCCCGAGUUGGCCUGAAAUCAAGCACGAAGCAAAAGACCACCAUUUUCAGCACAUUGGCCAGCGAAAAGUCCUUAUCUGACUGCAAAAAGG
Molecule: non-coding RNA, 262 nt
Organism: Leptonychotes weddellii (Weddell seal)
Lineage: Eukaryota; Metazoa; Chordata; Mammalia; Carnivora; Phocidae
Source: RefSeq, a predicted model, not a curated record